GAUGAACGCUGGCGGCGUGCCUAAUACAUGCAAGUCGAACGAAACUUCUUUAUCACCGAGUGCUUGCACUCACCGAUAAAGAGUUGAGUGGCGAACGGGUGAGUAACACGUGGGCAACCUGCCCAAAAGAGGGGGAUAACACUUGGAAACAGGUGCUAAUACCGCAUAACCUUAGUUACCGCAUGGUAACUAUGUAAAAGGUGGCUAUACUACCGCUUUUGGAUGGGCCCGCGGCGCAUUAGCUAGUUGGUAGGGUAAAGGCUUACCAAGGCAAUGAUGCGUAGCCGAAUUGAGAGGUUGAUCGGCCACAUUGGGACUGAGACACGGCCCAAACUCCUACGGGAGGCAGCAGUAGGGAAUCUUCCACAAUGGGCGAAAGCCUGAUGGAGCAACGCCGCGUGGGUGAAGAAGGUCUUCGGAUCGUAAAACCCUGUUGUUAGAGAAGAAAGUGCGUGAGAGUAACUGUUCACGUUUCGACGGUAUCUAACCAGAAAGCCACGGCUAACUACGUG
RNAcentral lists this ribosomal RNA (512 nucleotides) under uncultured bacterium. Its description in RNAcentral is "partial 16S ribosomal RNA". It matches the Rfam family "Bacterial small subunit ribosomal RNA", at positions 28 to 507 of the family's 1533-position model. The record is from RNAcentral.